Molecule: long non-coding RNA, 95 nt
Organism: Aethalodelphis obliquidens (Pacific white-sided dolphin)
Lineage: Eukaryota; Metazoa; Chordata; Mammalia; Artiodactyla; Delphinidae
Exons: 3
Source: RefSeq, a predicted model, not a curated record
UGGCCUCUCCCUGUGUCUUCACAUGGUCUUCCCUCUGUAUGUGUUUGAGUCCUAAUCUCCUUGUCUUAUAAGGACACUAGUCAUAUUGGAUUAGG